CUUUCCACCCUCGGAGGUGGAAAAAUUUUUUCGGAGAAGAAAAAAUGCCCGCUGGCUUCCUUCUCCUUCUCCGUCUUGUUGCGAGAGGAAGAAAGAAGGGGCGGCAGGAUUCUGGAGUAGCGGGAGAGGGUUUCUCUUCGUCUCCCCCUUCCUCUGCCUUCCUCUUCUCUCCCCCGGACGUCUCGGCCCGCGGCAAUAGAGGGCCUACUGAUGUCUGGGGACGGGCAUAAAGCUCAAAGUAUCAGUGGCAUGGACUGUAAAGACUAUAAGGUGUUAAUUGGUUUUAGCGAGAAGGCUUACAAUAUCUUUCUAGAUUUCAUGACAAGGGUUGCUGAGUUUGAAGAGUUGGUAAAUGUUGGUGGUCGAUUUCUUUCAACCUAUAAAUCGGAACUAGAGUUAUUUCGGCGGCCUCCCUUACAGAUGAAGACUACUGUCAUCAAAGAGAUUAUGGAAGCAAAUAAUAGCGGAUGGAUGAGGUCAUACAUUGAAGCAGGAUGCAGGCAUCAACACACAGACAUAGACAACAUAAACAAGUUGAACAUGUGCCAGCAAGGAAUCCAUGAACAUAUAGUGAAGGCAACGACCCUUCUUGAUGAACUUGGGUGUCUCAUGGAGAAUGUGCUUGUGUUAGUUAAGGAGGAAAUUGAGAAAUUAUCACAUUAUAUGGAUGAGCUCCAGGAUGAUGGUUUGGUUUAUCCAUUAAUUAGGGCGGAGGAGGUAAAUGUGAUGCUGUUACAUGCUUGUUGUGAAAAUUUAGUAUUGCAUCAGUCAGGUUGUCUGAAAGAUCAUGAUGAUGCGUUCUUUGUAUAUCCAACUGUGUAGUGUGGCUUGUUUCAGAAAAGAUUUAAACAGAUGUGUGGUUUCCUUGUAAGUUGUUUCAAUAAUACAAGGGGAAAGCAUUUAUUAUUAUUAUUUUCCUUCUCCAAUAGUUUACAUUGUUUUUGUAAGAAAAAUAAAUCUUGUAGGCAGUCUCGCUAGAAAUCCCUUGCCACUAAAAGUUCCUGAAAAUUGUAUCUUAACGUUCUCCAGAUACAUUUUGAACACAUCUUUUAUUUGGGUCUGGUGUCCAGAUUAAUAGUUACCUUCAAGGUUAGUGGCUUUAGCGUGAAGGUGUAAGAUAGAGUUAGUGAAUGAUUCAGACACAUUUUGAAUUGAUUGAACAAUGAAUAAAGGAAAUGGAAGGUCGAAGACACUGAAAUUAGCAACCAUGAGUGAUGAUAAUACUCUUCUAUACAUGUAUCUAUAUGUGUGUGUGUAGAAAGUUUAGGAAGUUAUUGUAAAUUCUAAUAAAUGAAGGUUUAAAAGUAAAAAUAGAAAAGAUGAAACUCUCUCUCUUUCGCUGUGGUGGCUACCACUGUCUCCCUGCCACCACUACAUCUGACAGUGAGUACGUCCUCCUUCUCCUCUUCUUCUUCUUCUUCUUCUUCAUCUUUCUCCUUCUCUUCAUCCUCCUCCUCCUUUCUGCCACUGGCACACCCAAGCCACAGGUGCAUCACCUUGAUAAGGGGCCUAAGUACUGCAUCCAUGUAAGGCCAGAUAUUGCUUGGAAUUAUGUUUACAACCCUGCUAGCUUUGCAGAAAGGUCGAUGUUUUAAGAUAUGUAACUUCUAUAAGGUUAUGUUGUAAUUUUUAAAUAUAGAAAACUACUGCAAUCUGAUUGUGACACCCACAGGCACAAUUGGAUAGUGGAUAAAAUAUGAACUACAAUUACUCAGGUGAACAAAACAUUACUGAGUUCACUUAAUAGUUGAUUUCUAUAAAGCAUCUGUCUUCAAUUUGGAUAAAUAUAUAAAUGGCCACAACCAUGCCCUUUCACAUGCUAUGCUGCAGAGCAGAUUCUUGACCUGACUUGUGACUGGUUUUGGUGUUGAUGAUGUAUAUUUUCAUUAUUUCUCCCUGCCUUACUGCUGCACACUCUAUUUUUGUUUGCAUGCGCCAUGCUUACCAUGGAUUUGUUACUUUCAAUUUUUCUCGACAUCAUUGACUAGUUCCUUCAACAUCACUGUAUUCAUGAAGCGUAUAAUUUUUGGUCAUUCCUUUGCAUUGGGUUCAUGUUACUUUUUGAUCUUUGCUUGGUGCACAAGUGAGUAUAGGUAUGCUAUCAUCAAUGAAAGCUCUCUCUCUCUCUCUCUCUCUCUCUCUCUCUCUCUAUGUAUAUAUAUAUAUAUGUGUGUGUGUGUGUGUGUGUGUGUGUGUGUAUAUAUGUAUAUGUAUAUAUAUAUAUAUAUGUAUGUAUAUGUGUGUGUGUGUGUGUGUGUGUGUGUAUAUAUAUAUAUAUAUAAAGUGCAUUCAACCAGUUUCAUUUUUGGGUUUAAUUUUAUACUUUCGCGUAACAGUCAGGCCGACCUAUACGCCAUAUCGUAACGUAUCGCAAACGUAGCGUAGCGUAUCGUAAAAUUAAUUUUUUAAUUUUUAAAAAAUAUUAAAAAGUCCGAAAAAAAUAGAGAAAAUCAUAAAAAAUCCGAAAAAAUAAGCAAAAAAUCAAGAAAAAUGUAUUUAAAGGAACAUUCAUGUAUAUGAAGUUAUGAACAACACAAUUGACACAUUCCAAAAUAAGAAAUCAGAGAUUCAAAAUAACAUAAUAAGCAUCAGUCUUAGCCUCUUAGGACUUAGAUUACAUCACAAUUUAUAAGUUCAAAACUUAUAGUUAUCAUCUUUCAUUAUUCAAUGAUAAUCCUCAUCAUCUGCAUCAUCAUCUUCAUUUUCUUCAUUAAUUGCUUCUAUCCCAUCUGUUGGAAUGUCACCAACAUUUCAUUACUCUCCAGCCUCCUUCUUCUGAAAUCUCUGCUGGUCCUUCAAUGUUCAACAAAUCCAGAUCCUUCUCAUCAAGGAUCGCAUAUGGUUCUUCUUUUCAACCCAAGAAUCUAAUACAUCAAAAUGGUCAAGGCUGAUAGGAUCAAAUUAAGUGUGAUGCUUCCUCGUAGAUGCUGCUUCUAUUUGCCUGAAGUGUAACAAGAGAAAAAAUUAACAAAUUGUUAAAAUUUAAAAUAUAUAUUAGAAUUGGCUAUUUUGCAUAAAAAAUGUAUUUAAUUUACCUUUGUCUCAACUUCAUAUUAUAACGAACGUAAACAAGGUCAUUCAACCUUUUAUGUUCCAACCUAUUUUUCUUUUUACUGUUGAUGUGCUGAAAUACACUUCAAUUUCUUUCACAUCCAGUUGCACUGCAUGUUUGGCUGAGGAUUCUAAUUGCAAGCUUCUUUAAUUCUGGGCAAUCAAGCCCAAACCUGCUCCACCACAAACCUAAUAACAGAUGGAAAGUAAAUACGAAAUAGUAAAUAUAUGAGAAGGUAGAAACAACAAAUAAAAUAAUAACCAAAAAGUAGAUAAGAUAAAGUCCCUUUUUCUAAUACCUGGACGCAAAGAUGGCCUGCAUCGAAUUGCUAUGUCUCUCUCCUUGCUACCAUAACAAGUAACAUAUUUGUCGAUCGACUUUGUUCCCUAUAAUCACUUACCAAUAUCUCAAUACAAUCCAACAUGCCAUACUCGACCUCUCUGUCCUUCUUAAAAGUGGGAAGAUAUCUAAUAGCAAGAUUUAGGUAGUAUGCUGUUGUAUGAAGUGGGCGAUGAAGUUGUCCAGACCAACUUUCAUCUAUAAUCUUCCAUAUAGGCAUGAACAACUUUUUUCCCUUCAUAUUAUCUGUAAUGGCCUCGUUUGCUCUGUCCAUAGCGUCAUAUAAAUAUCCAAUAGAAGGUCUAUCUUCAUUGUCAACCAAUCUGAGAACUUUCAUUAGAGGUACACAAAUCUUCAAUAACUUCACACAUGAUUCCCAAAGUCAGCAUUGAAUAUAGUAUCCACAACUGUCGUGGCCUUUCUUUUAUAGGCAUGUGGAUAUGCAACCCAAUGAUCACUUGAAAACAUCUUGCCUGAGAUGAUUUCUUUGCUUGACUAUACCCUGCACAGUUAAAACAUUUGUAGCAAACCGUGUUUGUGCAGGUUGAAUCAAUUCAACCCCAUUGUGAUUUUUCUCAUCAAAUUCAAUAUAUAAGCAUGAUUAUAAAUAAACUUCGUGAUUUCUUGGCAUCUUUGAACUGUCUACUUCAUAUCAUCUUUUUCACCAAGAUCCUGAAGCAUUAGAUUUAAACAGUGAGCAGCACACUGACUCCAAUAAAAUGUUCUAUAUCGUGUUGCUAACAUUUCACCUGCAGCUUUAUAAUUUGCUGCAUUACCAGUGAUAAAUUGCAUGACAUUCUGAGGCCAAACUUCUUGUAUAACUUCAUAAAAAAUCUCACGCAAAACAUCAACAGUCUUAGGAGUAUCAGACAAAUCAAUAGAUUUUAAGAACGUUGUACCUAAGGGGCAAUAUACAAUGAAGUUUACCAAUGUUCUGUUCUUGAUGUCUGUCUAUCCAUCUGCCAUUACAUUGCAUCCUAUGUCUUUUCAACUCAAUUUCAAUUUAUCACAAUAUGCCUUGACAUCUCUAACUGCAUUAUUAAGAAUUUUAUCUCGCAAUUUAUGAUAAAAGGGCAUUUUAUACCCUCGGUCUAUAGAAGCAAUCACAUCUGCUAUAGGCUGAAAAUGAAAAGAGUUUGUUGCAUUAAAGGGAAUGGAUGUGACAUAGAACCACCUUCCUAUGGUAUCAUCUCCUGCGUCAACAAUAUCCUUUGAACACAUGGCUGUAGUUAUGUCAGGCUGAGAACCAGCAACAGUAUAAGUGGAAAAAAAAUUCUUUGUCGAACUAGACCCAAUUCUCGACCUCAUAGUAGGUACUCUACCACCACCAAUUCCAAUAGUACGACUGACUCCUGCCACGUCCUCGUGAAACUGUACUUGCACCUCUUCUUUUUCUGGUUGCAGUUGAAGAACCACCUCUAUGCAUGAUGCCUUUGCUGUUCCCAAACUGACACCAACAUCUUCUUCUUCGAGCUCAACAUCUUCACAUUCACUUCCUUCUUCUUCAUAUUUGUCCCCAUAUCCUACAUCUGCCUCAUGCAUUUCUUUUUCAAUCAUAUUUUCUUUCACGACAUUAAUAAACUCUAAACAUUGGUGCUUGACAUAGGGUGGCAAUGGGUUUUCUUGGGAGCCAGUGCAUUGAGUCACAUCGUUGUGUGUACCAGCUAUAUGGUGUUUAAAGCGAGAGAUCUCUCCUGGAUCUAAAUAAGAGAAACGAACGAUUCAACGGUGAAAAUGAGUUAUUUUUUACCUUCUUGGUGUUAGAAACCAAAAAACCCUCUUUUUCCAAGCUUCCCACUGUUCCCACUACGAGAAAACUUCUUUCACCAGCUACUAGACUUUCCCAAAUCGAUGAAUCCUUAGUGAUUUUUUAUGAAAAUGGGCAAAAUUUCUCCCUCCCACAUCUCUUGCAGUAUUUAAAAACAAGAAAAGAGAGAGAGAGGAGCGUAGGUCUUUAAAACAUGACGCAAAAAAGGGGCCGUUGGGCCCCUUUAUAAUUGUUUUCUCAUAUCGCCGUUGGGCCCCUUUAUAAUUGUUUUCUCAUAUCGUACGAUACGAACGAUAUGCUUAUGAUACACGAGCGUAUCGUAAGCAUACCGUAUAGGUUUUCUAAACCUAUACGGUACGUAUCGUGUCGCCUAUACGCCCUAAAGAAGUCUUUUAAAGCGGGAGAAACGUCAAAGCCCAAAGCAAAUUUCGUAAAGACUUCUCAAACCAUCAAGAAGGUGGAGAGUAGACCGGCUUGCCAUAACAAUACACCCAUCAAAUAUAUCACCUUGCAGGAGAGAGGAGCAGAUUAAACAUGGUCUCUGCUUCAACUGUGAAGAGAAAUGGGUGAAGGGACAUAAAUGUAAAUGCUUUCAACUCUAUGAGGUGAUAGAUGAUAGUGAUGAGGAUGAGCAACCCACAGGGGAACCGGCUACGGAUAACAUUGGUUCAAACUUCAAACUACAACCGAGUUACUGCUGGGAAUUGGAUGCAAGUAAAACUACUGGGUGCUGGUCAAAUUACUGCUGCUUAUUGGAAAGAAGCUACUUGAUUAUGUUUUUCAGUUUUCAUCUGAAGAGGGAAUGUGGACAAAUAACCAGUGUAACUCACUAAGUUUACUUGUACUGUUUUAAAGAUUGUGUUCUAUAUUCUGUCCAUAUUGGCUGUUUUCCUAGAAUUCCUUGUUCUUUUACAUAUGCUGUAAGUUUUCGGUCAGAAGUCCAUAAUGAGACUGAUUGAUUUCUGUAUAUAGCACAGCGAAAUAAUCUCUUAACAUUCUUUUCUUAA
Nymphaea colorata (pocket water lily) is the source of this 6166-nucleotide RNA transcript. RefSeq lists it as uncharacterized. The transcript is spliced from 8 exons. Lineage: Eukaryota; Viridiplantae; Streptophyta; Magnoliopsida; Nymphaeales; Nymphaeaceae. The record is from RefSeq and is a predicted model, not a curated record.